RNAcentral lists this ribosomal RNA (512 nucleotides) under uncultured bacterium. Its description in RNAcentral is "partial 16S ribosomal RNA". It matches the Rfam family "Bacterial small subunit ribosomal RNA", at positions 28 to 523 of the family's 1533-position model. The record is from RNAcentral.
GACGAACGCUGGCGGCGUGCCUAAUACAUGCAAGUCGAGCGGAACUGGGGGAGCUUGCUCCUUCCAGUUUAGCGGCGGACGGGUGAGUAACACGUGGGCAACCUGCCCUGCAGAUCGGGAUAACUCCGGGAAACCGGUGCUAAUACCGAAUAGUUUGGCGCCUCUCCUGAGGCGCUACGGAAAGACGGUUUCGGCUGUCACUGCAGGAUGGGCCCGCGGCGCAUUAGCUAGUUGGUGGGGUAACGGCCCACCAAGGCGACGAUGCGUAGCCGACCUGAGAGGGUGACCGGCCACACUGGGACUGAGACACGGCCCAGACUCCUACGGGAGGCAGCAGUAGGGAAUCUUCCGCAAUGGACGCAAGUCUGACGGAGCAACACCGCGUGAGUGACGAAGGUUUUCGGAUCGUAAAACUCUGUUGUGAGGGAAGAACACGUACCAACUAACUAUUGGUACCUUGACGGUACCUCACCAGAAGGCCACGGCUAACUACGUGCCAGCCGCCGCCGCAG